GUGGAAAAUAACCGAAACACUGAAAAAUAGCCCCAAUUAAAGUGUAUUCAUUUACUCAGUUACAACGCAAUCCUUUUAUUUCACGAUUUUCUUUCAAAAGAUCCGUCUCGGCACUUUUCGAGACGAUCGCUGUUUUUAUGUAAUAUUUGUAUUACUUUAUAGUUUAUGCUGUCGAGCGAGCGGCUCUCUCGUAUCUCAGUCCGAAUCUUUCUAGAGUCGGCUCACUGUAAAUGGCUUCGGACAGUCCGAAUCUUUCUAGCGAGUCGGUUCCUUCUAAAUGGAUCUCGCUCUUAUAUACAGCUCCGGGAAGUCCGAAUCUUUCUUUUUUUUUAUUGACUGUUGAAGAGAGAACACCGGAAAAUAUUACAGAAUUAAUUCAUUACCUUGUCUUUUGUUGCUGUUACCCUGGCA
Long non-coding RNA from Sinocyclocheilus grahami, 411 nucleotides. RefSeq lists it as uncharacterized. The record is from RefSeq and is a predicted model, not a curated record. Lineage: Eukaryota; Metazoa; Chordata; Actinopteri; Cypriniformes; Cyprinidae. The transcript is spliced from 3 exons.